Molecule: non-coding RNA, 185 nt
Organism: Puma concolor (puma)
Lineage: Eukaryota; Metazoa; Chordata; Mammalia; Carnivora; Felidae
Source: RefSeq, a predicted model, not a curated record
AUCGCUUCUCAGCCUUUUGGCUAAGAUCAAGUGUAUUAGUGUUAGCAUGGCAUAUGGUUUUCAUCCUUUUACUUUUGACCUAUAUUUAAAUUGUAUUUUUGUAGGCAGCAUAUAACUGAGUCUUGAUUUUUUAUCCACUAGGGUAAUCUUUGCCUUUUUACUAGAGUGAACAAUUUACAUUUUGU